This is a long non-coding RNA of Cavia porcellus (domestic guinea pig), 4293 nucleotides long. RefSeq lists it as uncharacterized. Lineage: Eukaryota; Metazoa; Chordata; Mammalia; Rodentia; Caviidae. The record is from RefSeq and is a predicted model, not a curated record. The transcript has 3 exons.
AGGCACCAUUGCGGGAACUGCUCUGAGAUCUUGUCGAAGCCCAGGGAGUUGCUGGAGGAUGCGGAAAGUGCUGCUUGCCAAGAAAUGGACCUGAAAAAUAAGUGCAAUUUUAUGACUUGGCUCUGCUGAGCUUCCCCGAGACCCUGCAUAUUUCAGCAGGCCAAGCACCGGAUGCAAAGAAGCCCCCAAAAGACAGCAUUUUUGUAAGAUAUGGAUUGGCACUUUGUUCUCAGAAAACACUGAAGACUCAGGCAAAUGGGCAUGAAGCAACCAGAUAAACAAGUCCCCAGAUUAAGUGAUUCAGUGGAGAAGAGUCAUCCCUGAGUGGUCAAAUCUGCAAAUGUAGAGCUACGAUUGUGUACUUCCCUGAUGUCUGCAACGGAGGUGAAAUGAGCUGCCACAAAGUCGGGAGGAACUGUUAAUGCAUCGAUGACAGAACCAAGACACAAGGAGGUCAACCAGAAAGUAGAUUUCCAGUGAGAGAGAAGGUAGCUUUGCUUUGGGGGCUGGUAAUGAGUUCAAUGGCUUUAACAAGGGAGAGGUGAGGCUUGUGAAGAAGAGGAAACAAGAGGUAUGAUAAAUAUGGAUCUUCGGAAUGAUGAGAAUCCUUAAAUUAAAAUCCAGAGUGUGGGUCUCACGGACUCUGACAACAGUCCUACCUCCCUUUGCCUUUGAAUACGUCUGGAGUACUGUGUCUGGAUUAGAAUCCCAUGUUUCUAGAGGUACAUAAAAAGACUGGAGAUAAAUCAGAGGACGAUCACCUCAACUGUGAGAGAGAGAAGAAAACCAGCAUGUCCUAGACAUUCAUCCUGAGCCUGGAACUAUACUGGGCUGAAACUCGGUAUUUGUACUCAGACACCCAGUGGCAUGCACAUUGCUAUCAUCAGUUUGUAGAUGAGACUGAGAUUUGGAACUUUACGAUUAAUGGCUAGCACAGGGCCACACAGAUUUGGGUCCGGGACUGUCAGUUGCCUACACCCAAGCUCUACCUUCUGUUCCUGAGAAUCAUCCAUCCAAAUGCAAUGCACCAAGGACACAAGCACUGUCUUCAUGAGUAUCGCAUUGUCAUAUAGAAAAGAAAACAGACUACAUAUGUGCUCCAGAUGUGAGAACUAUUGUCUUUAGUGUAAUUUCAGAGGGCAGCCCAUUUCUGUUAAAUUUUGGAAACAAGUUGUAAUGAGUUCGAGUUCUCCAACAGGGCAAAGAUCUUUUCACAUACAUUUCGUGUUUUCUUUUACAGAACUUUGAAGCAGAGAAACAGAUGGUCAUCUUAUCAUGGGUAUAUGGAACAGAUACUUUACUCUUUCCUAUUGAGAGAAAGGUUUAAAUUACAGACCUGUGUCAUCCCUUAAAAUAGUAGAAAACAAAACAAAGCAAAAAAAAAAAAAAAAUCAGUGGCUAUAAGCCAAGCCCACAAGAAAUUCAGUGGUGUUAAGAAAAGCCUAGUUUGGCAACUUCACUGCUUUGGUAUAUUCUUGCUGUUCAGUGCCAUGUAGCAGUCCAGAUUGCUGGGGUCUAGUGUCUAGCUGCAGAGUUUGCUAACCUUGUGACUGUGGAUCAUUUUCCAGAACUUUCCAGCACCAGUCUUCCCAUGUGCUGUACAAACAUGAAGUGAAACAUGCAUGUAAAAAAUACUCAGCACACUUCCAAGGCUAUAGCAAUGUUAUAGUGAAUGUCGGUACCAGUGGCAGUCGGGUGGUGACUAGAAUUAUGAGAAACUGAGUGACCAGAGAUGUUUAUCACAGGCUUACCAUCUUUUCUCACCUUCUUUUGAUUAAUGCUUCAGAGUAUCCUAGGAAGGACAAUACAGGUAUUAAAUUUUACUGUAUUUCAGCUGAUUCUGGAUACAAAGCAAAAAUCAAGAAUUCCUUUCUUGGGCAUUUUUCUUUCGAUAUUGUGCUAUUGUGUUUUUUAAGUGUCUGUUAAGAAUCUCUUACAGUUAUGCAUGGAGUGUACUAACUUUAACACAUCACAUUCAAAUAGCUUGGAAGUAUGUAAAAUCCCAAACUAGAUGUCCUUCAGCAUCCCAGAACAGAUGCCCCUCCCUGACACACCUGACACAUCCACACAUUUUCAAAAGGAAAUUUUGUUGAGAACUCACCGGUAUCCUUGUCAUUGUUUUUAUUUCUAGUCCAAACUCAGAACAUACGCACUAUGAUUUCAUACAUAUGCUCCCCAGUUAUGGAGAUGUUGCCAUUUUAUAUAACACAGAGACAAACAUCAGGUAAGUGGUUUGAAUGGGCAUUCUCUCACCUGAACCUUGCUAUCUGAGUCUAUUAGGUUUUUAUCCUAAUAACAGGCUAGUAGAAAUCCACCUUCUUAAGUAUGGCCUAAAGAAUCAUGAAAAACACUAUGAAAUCAUAAUUGAAUUUAUUAGUAUUAGCCACGGAAGCUUUCACAUUGAAAUCAGCUUAUGAAACACUAUAUAUAUAUACACACACAUAUAUAUACACACACAGACAUAUCCAAAACUUUUGCCAUCCAAGAAUGUGUCAUAUUUAUUUACUUUAAAGUGGAAAACAAAGCAAAUAACCCUCCUGAAUUUUUAAAGAGGCAGUUUAAACAUUUUAAUAUUUUGUGUCUGGAAUAAAAUGAUUUGAUAGAUACUCAAUUUCUAGCUAGUUUAGUCUUUUCCUACAUCAACUCAUGGUAGAAGUUCAAAACACUGUAAUUUGGGGGAAUAAAUGUUUGUCUUUUUCCAUAAUGCUUCCACUUUGGGGAGUUGUUUAUUUAAUAAUCAAAAUCAGACCAUUUUUUUUGCAAGCCUGGCAAGUAGCUACCAGUUUGAGAUCCAUUCUGAUUUGAUUAAUUGGACCACAGAGAAGACAUGGGAAAAGGACUGACUGGAUGUUUCUGUUUUUUGGAUCUAAACAUUUGGGUUUUACAGCUUUAUUUUUUUUUUUUUUUGGACUGUCUAUACAAGACCACAGUGUUACAUGUUUUAAAAUCCACUGUUGCAUUUAGAACAUCUUAUGUUUUAAUUUUUGGUGCCUUUCGUUCCUGACGAGCAACUGGUUUUAAAUUCAGAGCUUACAGGACAUGAAAUGUGCAAGCCAAGGUUGACAGGACAGUGACAGGUCCUGGGUACGGUCACCGGCCUUUCCAUAUGUCACAGGAUGACAUGUGGUCAGGUUACCCAGACUGAGGUUUCCCAGGCAACCGGGUCCUGCUCCAUAUGGGUUCCUCGGGCAGUUGAAAAGCGAUGUUGAAGAUGAGCACACUGGAGACAUCGCGUCUCUUGGUCAUUGUUUGCUUUGUGCUCUCCCCUGUGUUCCCUGCCAUGCUGACCCCAGGCUCCAAGGUGGGAAAUGCAUUCUGCUUCUGGCACUCCAAAAGGUGCUUGGGGGCACACGGAAUUUUAAACAUUUUAAUAGCUUAAUGCUUUAAACUAUUCACAUAAUCACAUUAGCUACAAGCAUGUUAGUUUGUUAAGAAAGAGAGUAUGUUCCAUAAAUAUAAGUUAAGGGUUCAGAUGGUGCACACAGAUUUGGCCAAAAGGAAACACACACACACACACAUACACACACACACACACACACACACACACACACACACACACACACUGAGACUGACGCACAAACAAUUGGACUUGGUUUGCAAAAGUUCGGUUAUACUGAUUUCACUACUUAGACUAUUUUUCUUAUUCCUUAAUAACUAUAGCAGAAAUGAUACUGACUACUUUGUUUUUAUUCAAAUGCACAGUGUGUAACUACCUAUAUAACUAAUCUAUCUGGACUAUUUUUUUUUAACAAGAAGGAAGAGUUGUGAUUCAUUAGCUGGAGUGAGAGGCUUAUAAAACUGCCUCCUGCCUCCUGUUAAAAGAGCUUAGUCUGGAGUGGGGUGAAGCUUCCUCUUUAAUCUCAGCUCCAUCAUUAGGCAUGAAACCUUGAGGAAGUAUGCUCAGGCUAUCUGACAUCUAAGUACCUCAAUUUCUUUCUUUGUAAAAUAGGUGGAAUAGAAUAGGAUUAUUUCAAGGACUUGGAGGCUGAUGUGUGUGCAAUUGUGUAAUGUGUUUCUCAACACAAACUAAGCACCUAAUUAAUUCUAGUUAUUUUUUAUUUCUAAGCUGUUAUAAUUGCACAUCCUCCUCCUACUUCACAAUGGCUAAAAUGUGGAGAUGAGUGAGUUUCAGAAUGACAGUGCAUCAUAUCUCUAGGGCAAGGCUUCUGAAGUCUUUAUAAAGAGACUCUGGGGAUACCUCAAUUUUUAGGAGUCUCACUUUGUUAUUUAUGAGAUUGCAGGCAAUGUCUCUAGUCCUGAGUUUUUUCCAAAGAAAAGCCAACUCAUGGUUAU